Non-coding RNA from Cinara cedri, 390 nucleotides. NCBI's taxonomy places the organism in Eukaryota, Metazoa, Arthropoda, Insecta, Hemiptera, Aphididae. The record is from the annotation of a GenBank genome assembly.
UAACCCACGCGUCGUGUUUUUUCGUCGACUUGGUAUUAGGUUUCAAGUUUACAUUUUAAGACUUCGACUUUCUCGGAGCAGUAUAGGGUUCGGACCAACAGCAACAAUUAGGUGGUAUACGUUUGGUAGAACUCCUUAAAUCAACUAGGUUACGCAACUGUUUGAAACCCGCAUAAUGUUUGUAAAAACGCUGUCGGAGCGUUAACGGUAUACAAUAUUAUCUAAGAAAAUAAAAUAAUGUCUUAUCUCAGAAAAACAUUGUUGGCGUGGCACGUGAUGAUAACGUGUUAAUGAUCGUGACUGAGUGCCUCAGCGACCAUCCACUUUGGCCCGACGCGACUCGGCGUUCGAAAAAUGUAAUGCAUACGCUCCGGACUAGGGCUUCGCGAU